RNAcentral lists this ribosomal RNA (458 nucleotides) under uncultured bacterium. RNAcentral's name for it is "bacterial SSU rRNA". It matches the Rfam family "Bacterial small subunit ribosomal RNA", at positions 917 to 1382 of the family's 1533-position model. The record is from RNAcentral.
GGGCCCGCACAAGCAGUGGAGUAUGUGGUUUAAUUCGAAGCAACGCGAAGAACCUUACCAGGUCUUGACAUCGUGCGCAUAGUAUAGAGAUAUAUGAAGUCCUUCGGGACGCAUAGACAGGUGGUGCAUGGUUGUCGUCAGCUCGUGUCGUGAGAUGUCGGGUUAAGUCCCUCAACGAGCGCAACCCUUACGAUUAGUUGCUACGCAAGAGCACUCUAAUAGGACUGCCGUUGACAAAACGGAGGAAGGUGGGGAUGACGUCAAAUCAUCAUGCCCCUUAUGACCUGGGCUACACACGUACUACAAUGGUGAUCAACAGAGGGAAGCAAAGCGGCGACGCGGAGCAAAUCCCUAAAAGUCAUCUCAGUUCGGAUCGCAGGCUGCAACUCGCCUGCGUGAAGUUGGAAUUGCUAGUAAUCGCAGAUCAGAAUGCUGCGGUGAAUACGUUCCCGGGCCUU